This 463-nucleotide ribosomal RNA is filed under the name uncultured bacterium. RNAcentral describes it as "partial 16S ribosomal RNA". It matches the Rfam family "Bacterial small subunit ribosomal RNA", at positions 28 to 507 of the family's 1533-position model. The record is from RNAcentral.
GACGAACGCUGGCGGCGUGCUUAACACAUGCAAGUCGAACGGUAAGGCCCUUCGGGGUACACGAGUGGCGAACGGGUGAGUAACGCGUGAGUAACCUGCCCUUCACUCUGGGAUAACAGUUGGAAACGGCUGCUAAUACCGGAUAUUCAGCUCCUGUCGCAUGGUGGGGGUUGGAAAGUUUUGGUGGUGGGGGAUGGGCUCGCGUCCUAUCAGCUUGUUGGUGGGGUGAUGGCCUACCAAGGCGUCGACGGGUAGCCGGCCUGGGAGGGCGACCGGCCACACUGGGGAUGGGGAAAGGCCCCAAAGCCCUCGGGGGGGAGGCGGUGGGAAAUGUUCAAAAGUGGGCGGAGGCCUGAGCCGCAAACGCCGGGGGGGGGAUACGGGCCUUGGGGUUGAAAACCGUUUUAAGAGGGAACGAGGCGAAGGGGCGGGAACCUGCAAAAGAAGCACCGCUAAACACGGG